UAAUAUACGAAUAAAAUUCGAUUCGAUUCCAAUAGAACUUUAAACCCUUGACCGAUUUAAUGAUCAGCUCUAAGCGUAUCUACAGAAAACAAAUGGAUAAGAUGUUGCAUGCUCACUCCAGCUUCUCUGCACCAUGCCAAUGCUUUUGAUUAAGCGGAGAGGGACAUGCCGACAUCUCAGCUCAAAUUGCUCUAGAGAGGAAACAAUGUAAUGUUUCUGAUCAAAGUUCACAAAAUGUUUUUGUGUGAGAGCAUAUUAUCAAAUCAACCUUAAUUUAUUAUAUCUAAUCAAUAUUCAAUUCAAUUUUUCUAUACUUCUUAUUAGAAUAGCCUUGCAUGGAUGGCUGCAUCGUUGCUUGGACCCAGUAAAAGCACUGCAAUUUAUGAACCCGAAAGGAAUGGAAUCUCAGCUAGUGUUGUGGGUAGGGAGACGUUAAGGUUAUGAACUGCUAAGUAUGCAGCAAUGCCAGCAGCAUAACCAGCAAAAGCAAAACCACUCACCUUCCGGAAGUACCAGAAGAAGUCCACCUUUUCCAUCCCCAUAUAUGCAACUCCAGCAGCAGAGCCGAUAACUAGCAAGGAACCGCCAGUACCAGCACAGUACGCAACUAACUGCCAAAACUCAGAAUCCUGAGGAAAUGAGGUGAGAUCAUACAUUCCCAUCGCUGCUGCAACCAGUGGAACAUUGUCUAUAAUUGCUGAUACCAACCCUAUUGCAGUUGCAACAAGUUCAACAUUUGGAAUAUGCGCAUCAAGGUAAUUUGCCAAUUCGCGAAGAAUCCCUGCUGCCUCCAGGCUGCUGACUGACAAAAGGAUUCCAAGGAAAAAAAGGGCUCCUUGAGUGUCAAUCCGAGAUAAAGCCUGCGGUACUUUUAACUUCUGCCUUUCUGAUUCACCAUAAUGAAUAGCAUCUGUAACAAUCCAAAGUACUCCAAGCCCAAGAAGCAUGCCCAUAUAUGGAGGCAAUCCAGUUAGGGCCUUGAACACUGGAACAAAAAUCAAAGCACCAAAACCCACAGAAAAAACAAGCUGUCCCCGAGGAGCCAUACGUUCAGAAGCCAAAACAUUAGGGGAUUCCUGUUCCUUCCCAUUAACUUCACUGCAUGGGAGAAGACAAGCUCCUAUGACUUCAACCGUGAAUUUAAACUAAAACUUUCAGUACUUUAAUCCCUUACUUCAAUUUGCAAAUGCAAUAAGAGUACCUAGUGAGAGACAUAAGAGCCAGCGGAAUAGCUAGAGAAACAACUGAAGGUACUAGCAAACCCUUCAUUGUUGGCAAUGUGGAUAUCUGACCAUGUAUCCAUAGCAUUGUAGUUGUAACAUCACCUAUAGGAGUCCAUGCACCACCUGAGUUCGCUGCAAUCACAACAACAGCUCCUAGAAGCCUGCGGUAUUCUGAUGGAGGUACUAGUUUCCUCAACAAAGAAACCAUUACAAUGGUAGAUGUCAAGUUGUCAAGGAUUGAACUAAGGAAAAAUGUCACAAACCCAACCACCCAAAGUAGAGUCUUGGGCUUUCGAGUGGUUAUAUUGUCAGUGACCAGCUUAAAUCCUUGAUGAGCAUCAACAAUCUCCACGAUGGUCAUGGCACCAAGCAAGAAAAACACGAUCUCACUUACUUCUGCAGAAGCAUGUGUCAACUCCGAAACAGCUAUUUCAGUUGAAGGCGCCCCAAUGCUUCGAACUAUCCAUAAGCUCACAGCCAUCAGUAAUCCUACUCCACUUUUGUUGAAAGCUAGAGACUCUUCAAAAAUGAUGCCUGCAUAUCCAAUUCCGAAGAGUAAUGCCAUAGCAAGAUCCUGAUUGGCUGCAACCCAGGAAUGGUUAAUUGCUGCAGCCCCUGUUGCAGCUGCUGCGAAAACUGCAAGAGCUUUUAGCAAAUCAGUCUUUGGCUGGUAAGUGGCUGCAAAAUCUUGUGAACUAGUUUCAUCAACUGAACAUAAAGGAUCACAUGAACCAGCUUCUGAUGUCAGCUCCUGAAGCUGCUUUUCACUACUGGGCUGUUGAGCAUGUCCCUGUAUUGAAGAAGAAGAAGAAGAAGACCCUCUAGCCUUAUCUUCAGCUCUAGCAAGGAGACCACUGCCAAGCAAUCUUGAACCUAAUCUAAGCGGAGACAAAGCGAAACAGGACCGAGAAGAAAGUGAAGAUAGAUGAACGGGAGAUGGAAAUCGGACAGAGUGUUUCUCGAAUUGAUUGAAUGGAUUGAGAUGGUGUAAUCCAAUUGAGAGGGAAGCCAUUGCAGGUGAUGUUUUCAAGAAGAAAGUUAGAGAUUGCAAAGGAGAAGACGGUGGUUUUGGUCAGUUUAGAGGCUUUGUUGGUUUGCUUGGCAGUUGCAUGGAGGAGAGAGAUUGAGCAGUUUUUGGAGGAUAAUAUGGAAAUUGCUACUGCCAGGGGCCAUAGGAGCUUGGAAGGAGUGGCUUUGCCGGUGAAUAUUUCAGUCAAUUUUUACAAGAU
This 2452-nucleotide unclassified non-coding RNA is filed under the name Hevea brasiliensis (rubber tree). Lineage: Eukaryota; Viridiplantae; Streptophyta; Magnoliopsida; Malpighiales; Euphorbiaceae. The record is from RNAcentral.